Molecule: ribosomal RNA, 735 nt
Filed under: uncultured Fusobacterium sp.
Lineage: Bacteria; Fusobacteriati; Fusobacteriota; Fusobacteriia; Fusobacteriales; Fusobacteriaceae
Description: bacterial SSU rRNA
Rfam family: Bacterial small subunit ribosomal RNA
Source: RNAcentral
GAUGAACGCUGACAGAAUGCUUAACACAUGCAAGUCAACUUGAAUUUGGGUUUUUAACUUAGAUUUGGGUGGCGGACGGGUGAGUAACGCGUAAAGAACUUGCCUCACAGCUAGGGACAACAUUUAGAAAUGAAUGCUAAUACCUGAUAUUAUGAUUUUAAGGCAUCUUAGAAUUAUGAAAGCUAUAAGCACUGUGAGAGAGCUUUGCGUCCCAUUAGCUAGUUGGAGAGGUAACAGCUCACCAAGGCGAUGAUGGGUAGCCGGCCUGAGAGGGUGAACGGCCACAAGGGGACUGAGACACGGCCCUUACUCCUACGGGAGGCAGCAGUGGGGAAUAUUGGACAAUGGACCGAGAGUCUGAUCCAGCAAUUCUGUGUGCACGAUGAAGUUUUUCGGAAUGUAAAGUGCUUUCAGUUGGGAAGAAAUAAAUGACGGUACCAACAGAAGAAGUGACGGCUAAAUACGUGCCAGCAGCCGCGGUAAUACGUAUGUCACGAGCGUUAUCCGGAUUUAUUGGGCGUAAAGCGCGUCUAGGUGGUUAUGUAAGUCUGAUGUGAAAAUGCAGGGCUCAACUCUGUAUUGCGUUGGAAACUGUGUAACUAGAGUACUGGAGAGGUAAGCGGAACUACAAGUGUAGAGGUGAAAUUCGUAGAUAUUUGUAGGAAUGCCGAUGGGGAAGCCAGCUUACUGGACAGAUACUGACGCUAAAGCGCGAAAGCGUGGGUAGCAAACAGG